Molecule: ribosomal RNA, 486 nt
Filed under: uncultured bacterium
Lineage: Bacteria
Description: partial 16S ribosomal RNA
Rfam family: Bacterial small subunit ribosomal RNA
Source: RNAcentral
AUUGAACGCUGGCGGCAUGCCUUACACAUGCAAGUCGAACGGCAGCACGGGUGCUUGCACCUGGUGGCGAGUGGCGAACGGGUGAGUAAUACAUCGGAACAUGUCCUGUAGUGGGGGAUAGCCCGGCGAAAGCCGGAUUAAUACCGCAUACGAUCCACGGAUGAAAGCGGGGGACCGUCGGGCCUCGCGCUAUCGGGUUGGCCGAUGGCGGAUUAGCUAGUUGGUGGGGUAAAGGCCUACCAAGGCGACGAUCAGGAGCUGGUCUGAGAGGACGAGCAGCAACACUGGAACGGAGACACGGUCCAGACGCCGACGGGAGGACGCAGUGGGGAAGAGUGGACAAAGGGCGCAAGGCUGAUCCAGCCAUACCGCGUGGGUGAAAAAGGCCUUCGGGUUGUAAAGCGCUGUAGUGGGGAAAGAAAAGCAGCAGGUUAAGACCCCGCUGUUCUGACGGUACCCAAAGAAUAAGCACCGGCUAACGUCGUG